GACGAACGCUGGCGGCGUGCUUAACACAUGCAAGUGGAGCGACGAACCGGUCUUCGGACCGGGGCAGAGCCGCGAACGGGUGAGUAACACGUGGGUAACCCACCCCGAUGACCGGGACAACCCGAGGAAACUCGGGCUAAUACCGGAUGAGCUCUCAUCUUUUGAGAGAUGUGAGGAAAGAUAGCUUCGGCCUUCGCAUCGGGACGGGCCCGCGGCCCAUUAGCUUGUUGGUGGGGUAACGGCCUACCAAGGCGACGAUGGGUAGCUGGUCUGAGAGGACGAUCAGCCACACUGGGACUGAGACACGGCCCAGACUCCUACGGGAGGCAGCAGUGGGGAAUCUUGCACAAUGCGCGAAAGCGUGAUGCAGCAACGCCGCGUGGGGGAAGAAGG
Molecule: ribosomal RNA, 393 nt
Filed under: uncultured bacterium
Lineage: Bacteria
Description: bacterial SSU rRNA
Rfam family: Bacterial small subunit ribosomal RNA
Source: RNAcentral